UACGUAGGAGGCGAGCGUUAUCCGGAUUUACUGGGCGUAAAGAGGACGCAGGCGGCUUUUCAAGUCGGAUGUAAAAUCUCCCGGCUCAACUGGGAGGGACCGUCCGAUACUGUUGGGCUUGAGUGCAGCAGAGGGAAGCGGAAUUCCCGGUGUAGUGGUGAAAUACGUAGAUAUCGGGAGGAACACCAGUGGCGAAAGCGGCUUUCUAGGCUGUUACUGACGCUGAGGUCCGAAAGCGUGGGGAG
RNAcentral lists this ribosomal RNA (245 nucleotides) under uncultured Dehalogenimonas sp. Its description in RNAcentral is "partial 16S ribosomal RNA". It matches the Rfam family "Bacterial small subunit ribosomal RNA", at positions 524 to 768 of the family's 1533-position model. The record is from RNAcentral. Lineage: Bacteria; Bacillati; Chloroflexota; Dehalococcoidia; Dehalococcoidales; Dehalococcoidaceae.